Peromyscus californicus insignis is the source of this 1696-nucleotide long non-coding RNA. RefSeq lists it as uncharacterized. The transcript is spliced from 2 exons. The record is from RefSeq and is a predicted model, not a curated record. NCBI's taxonomy places the organism in Eukaryota, Metazoa, Chordata, Mammalia, Rodentia, Cricetidae.
UUUAGAUUUCUUUAUUUAUUAUAUAUACAGCAUGUAUGACUGCAGGCCAGAAGAGGCACCAGUUCUCAUUACAGGUGGUUGUGAGGCACCAUGUGGGUGCUGGGAAUUGAACUCAGGACCUCUUAACUGCUGAGCCAUCUCUCCAGCCCCCUGGUCUUGUUUUUUUAAGACCUGAUCUCAUGUAGCUCAGGCUGUCCUCACACUCACCAUGUAGCCAAAGCUUGAAUUCCUGAUCCUCCUGCCUCUACCUCCUGGUGCUGGGAUGAUAGGCCUGCCCCGGCAUGCCGCAGCUUCCUUGCAGGCCCACAGUAGCCUCCCUGUGGCAGGUAACACACCAGUUUAUGUAAGCCCAUAGGUCAGCAUCUCUAAUGAGAACCCAGCUCGGUCGCUUAACCUGCUGCACACAGCAUCUACAACCAAAGACCCAAAUGUAGAAAACGAAGAAAAGAGGCAAUUUCAAGAAACACUGGGUAAACACACAAAUGAUGUCUGCCCAGUAAGCUUCCCCAAAGCCAGAUUCAUUUUCCAAGCAAGGUUGCCUACAGCAGACCCUAGUCCUAAAAAUGCACUUCACAACGUUUUAAAAAUUGCACACAUUUAAUACAAAAUGAACCAUGAAAUGUCACUCUGGCCCUGUCAUCUUUCAAGGACUUCUGAGAAGCACUUUCACGUGUAUCCUUUGGGUACAGAAGUCAGAGUUCAGGCUGGAGAGAUGGCUCAACAGUUAAAAGCACUUGCUUAACAGGUCCCAAGUUCGGGUCCCAGCACCCACAUGGUGGUUCACAAAUCACCCGUAACUCCAGUUCCAGGGGAUGUGACACCCUCUUCCGACCUGAGGGCACCAGGCACACACAUGGUACAGACAUUCAUGCUGGUAAAACUCAUUGUGAUGGCUAGUGUCGGUUGUCAGUUUGACUACAUCUAGAGUGAGCUACAAUCCAGAAGGCACACCUAUGAGAGAUUAUUUUUGCUUUGUUUGAAGUGGGUGAAUCCACUUCUAGUCCAGACCUUUGAGGCAGGAAGGCAUGCCCCUUCGGUCUGGAUCUUGAGGCAGGAAGCCAUACCUUUCAUCUGGGCCACACCUUCUGCCACAAGCCUAUGUAAGACACAGAAGAAGGAAGGUUUUCUUUGCCUGCUUGCCCUCACCUUGCCAGCACAUCCCUCCUUCACUGGCAUUGGAGCCGACUUCUUCAGGAUUCCAGCAUAUACAGGAGACCAGCUGAGACAUCUAGCUGAUGUCUGAGACUGAGCAACUUCUGGAUUCUUGGACCUUCCAUUCAUAGCCUGCCAUUGUUGGAUUAGUUGGACUGUAGCAUCUGUUCAGAUGAUACAGUCAAGGCUGGGACUGGAUCUCAUGCUGGAAACGGUCUGGGAGGGCUUAUAAUGUGGCCAGAUCAACCAAGAAACCGGACUUGACUUUUCAAAGUGAAAUGUAAGUAUUUCUUUCAGUGAUUGAAAACCGUUGUCUGAACUACAUGAUAGAUGAAUCUAGGUUUUUAACCUAUAAAUCGUAUGAAAUCUAAAUGCAAAUCAAAUACUACUAGCAAACAUUGUUGUCAAAAUUGAGAUAUACGGCAAGUAUGAAAUACACAACCAAUUUUGAGGAUUUUGUAUCAAGGGAGGAUGUAAAAUCUCAUUAAUACAUUUUAAUAUUAAUUACAUGUAGAAAUGUUUGGCAAUAAAUGUUCUAGUCACA